RNAcentral lists this long non-coding RNA (3802 nucleotides) under Homo sapiens (human). Its description in RNAcentral is "HSALNT0378472". The record is from RNAcentral. Lineage: Eukaryota; Metazoa; Chordata; Mammalia; Primates; Hominidae.
AAAAAAAAAAAACCUAAAAUAUUUAAAAGUGCUUUAUUUUAAAAGUUUCCAAAUGGAACACAAAAUUAUUUGAAGUGUCCUUUAAAGUUAUUGCUAAAAUCAGCUAAACCUACAAGUAGAAUUGAACUUACAAGUUAAACUCAAAAACUUAAUGAUAAAGUAAGAAUUUGAAUUGGUAACUUAAAGAAACCCAACAUUAAUUUUGGAAAUAAAAGAGAAUAUCUAAAAAGUAUUUUGUGUCUAUGAAAGUCACCCUUCUAGUCAGCUGAAAUUGCUCAAUUGGGAGAGCAUUAGACUAAAAUGUCACCCUUAAGUUCAACAAAAAGAUAAAAUACAAUUCAGAAGGCAAAAGUAGUAAGAAUAAAGGCAAAGAGUUACAAAAUAGCCUGACAUCUUCAAAAAACUGGGGUGUAGAAUGCAUGUGGGGAGAAAUAGUAAAUCAGUUAGAGAAGGUGGUGGAAGGUAGACAAGAAAGAAAUCUUAUGCUAAGCGCUUUCGAAAUUCCUCACAAUCAAUAGGACGUCUGAUUCAAUGUUGAUAGAAAUAUUGGGUGAGCAUCGUUGUGUUGUUCUUCAAGGGGGAAACAUGCUGUCUUUCACUGGUAAGUGUAAUGGUUGGUAGUUGAAAUUUUUCAUCAAUGCCCUUUUUCAGGUUGAUAAGUUUCUAUUUCUACUGAGAUUUUUAUCAUGAAUGAAUGUAGAAUAUAGUAGAAUUUUUUGAGCGUAUCGAGAAGAUCAAUAACUUUUUUCUUUUUCAUCUGUCGAUAUAGUCUAUUACACUGAUUGAUUUUCAAAUGUGGAACCAAUCUUGUAUUCUGAGGAUAAAACCCACAUGGCUCUGGUGUAUAAUUCCUUUUAUGUUUUGCUGAAUUCAAUUUACUAAUAUUUUGCUAAGAGUUUAUCUGCCUAUGUUCAUGAGAGAAAUAUUGUUUUCAGUUUUCUUAUAAUGCCUUGGUACAGCUUUUAUAUUAGGACAAUGCUGGCCUCAUGAAAUAAGUUGGGAAGUAUACAUAUAUCUUCUAUUUUCUGGAAGAGUUCGAAUAAAAUAAGUAUUAAUUCUUCUUUAAAUGAUGGGAAGAAUUCAUCGAGGGAAUCACCUAGACUUGGAAUUCUCUGAUAUUUUUACCCAUAAAUUUAAUUUAUUCAACAGACAAAAUGUUAUUCUGCUCCUCUAUUUUUCUUUCUUGAGUGAGCACUGGCAGUUUGUGUUUUUAAGAGAUUUAUUCAUUUCAUCAAUACUUCCAAAUGUGUUGGCAUAACGUUGGUGGUAGUCUUUCCUCAUCCUGUUGUAGCACUUACUGUGAUGUCCCCUUUCUCUCUUCUGACAUUGGUCAUUUUUAAUUUCUUUUUUUUCUGUUUUCUUUGAAAGAGCCAUCUUGGAUUUUAGUGGUUUGUCUGUAUUUAUUUUUCUGUUUUAAUUAUUUUUCCAUGUUUUUUUUUUCUUCCAAUUGCUUUGUGUUUAAUUUGCCCUUAUUCUGUUUUCCUAGGGUGGAAGCUUAGUUCAUUGACUUCAAAAUUUAUUGUUUUUUUCAACUAUAAGUAUUUAAUGCUAAGAAUUUCUCUCUAAAUACUAAAUACUGCUUUACCUGUACCCCACAAAUAUUGGUAUGGUAUGUUUUUAUUUCCAUUUAAUUCAAAAUAAUUUCUAAUUACUUGGUGCUAUGGUCACUGGAGGUUGGUAAGAAUUUUUGUUCUCUGCCCCAGCCUCAGUACUAGAAAGAUUCCAUGUCUCUGGGCCUUAAAAGUAGGGCUUUCUCAGCAUUUCUGCUGCCACUUUAUUAGAGGUUGAAUUGUGUCCCGCUCAGAAUUGGUACUGGUAACCCCUAGCAUCGCAGAAUGAAACCUUAAUUGGAAAUAAGGUCAUUGCAGAUGUAAUUAGUUGAGAAGAGGCUAUUAGGGUGGGCCCUAAUUCAAUGUAACUGAUACUCUUAUCCUCCUAUCAGAAGUAUUUGUUUUUUGCCUGGGUCCCUGUGGCUUGAGUGUUUCCUGUACUCUCCCAAAAACCAACAGUUUGAGAAGGGUGCCUUGUAUGACAGAAGAGGCCUGGGCAGUGGGCGAGGCUUUAUGCCCCACCCCAGCAGCAGCUGAUUUCCACCCGCUCACCUGCACCACUGAGGGGGAACUCUCUUCAGUCUCCUGCCCUGCCUGCAAUCCCUUCAUCUUUCAUAGGAGCUUUAUUUUUUAGGUGGGGCUUGUGAAAAAGAGCUUGCCAGUGCCUAUAAACUUCUUCAUGUGAGAGUUUCCAGUCUUUCUUAACUGAUAUGAUAACCCACAUUCAGCCUUUAAGAAUUAUUUUAACAUUUGAGCAGAUUUCUUUCUUAUCUGAGUCUAUGGCACCAGCCACUUCCUCCCAUGUUCCAUCAAAGGUAAGGAGUUUGUUUGUCCGUCUUCGCUCCUCAGAGGAGCUGACCCUUUGGAAUUCUGCCCAUUUUGUUGCUUUCAAAUCUCAGGUCCCGGUGGGCUCAAGAAAAGCAAUCAUUUUGUGCAUGAUCUGGCUUCUAUCUUAUUGUUGAGGUGGAAACAAUGGUAAUAUGGGUGUGUGUAUUUCUACCUUCUAGGUAGAAAUUGAACAAAAGCAUUCUUUGCUAUUAUACCUGGGUUGUUCUUCACUGUUCCCUGGGAAUCUGUUACGGAAAUUAUGCUGAGCUAAUAAUUCUGAUGGGAUGAUCUUCACUCAUGCAGACUGUGGCGUCAUGUAGAAGGAAGGCUAAUAUGGAUGUGAGGUUCAAGAUCAAGAUGGGCAACUGAUGGUCAGACUCCAGUGGUUCUUCAAAACUUUCUAGGAGGUAAACAAGAUGAAAGGGAAAGCACACAAAUUUGCUGGAAUUUGGAAAACACGAACCCUGGAAUUUGGAGGAGUCACUUCCACUGGAAAAUACUUUUAUAUUAUUUAUAGUGGCUACCAUUACCGUGCUCACUUUACAGGUGAGGUUCAGAGAUUUAUGUAACAUGCCAAAGGUCACACAGCUGGACACAGCAGAACCAAGAUUCAAAUCUGCACAGGACAUCUUGAAAAGACUAUCAUCUGUAAACCAGGAAGAGGGCCCUUUUCAGACACUGAAUCUUCUGGCACCUUGCUUUUGGACAUUCCAGCCUCCAGAACUGUGAGAAAUAAAUGUCUGUGGUUUAAGCCACCUGGUCUAUGGUAUUUGUUAUGGCAACCCAAGCUGACUAAGACAGUAGGGUUUGUAAAAUUAUGUGAAUUUUUUGUUUGGCAUUUAACGAUAUGUUUUGAAAUAAGAAAAUGAUAACAUGAAAAUAAGACUCAGUCUCAAACCUAAUGGAACUAGACACAAGGAAGAGAAGUAGGUAGGCUGAAAGGGUGACAUUUAGUCUCAAUUGGACACACAAAGUGUGCAGAUGUGAGUCUAAUUUGAAGUAAAAUGACAGAAUUAAUAACUAUAUAUAAGUGGUGGAUAAAUAGCUUCAAUGAUUACAUCAACAAAGUGCAUCAUGUUGCAGGUCCAUCGUAUAUGUGCAUCUUGAAUAAAUUUAUUUCCUUCGUAUAACUGUCAUUUCCAUUGUCUGACAUAUUUAGGGAUUUUAACGUGGUAUGAAAAUAGGGCACUUUCUGUGGUUAUAGUCAUAAUCAUAGCAAUGGAUUAGUAGUAGCAGAAGUUCCAGUAUUAGUAGAAAUAGUGAAAAACAGUACAACAGCAGUAAAGUAAAAUAACGCUAUUGUAUUACAUUAAAUGUGAUAAUGCACACAACGUUCUAUAACCUAUUAAGCUUGAGACAAAUGUUAAUUAUUUUCUGCAUUGUUGUAUGGUCUCCAUUUUGCAAUAAAUGCUCAAUUAUGCAUU